Long non-coding RNA from Salarias fasciatus (jewelled blenny), 924 nucleotides. RefSeq lists it as uncharacterized. NCBI's taxonomy places the organism in Eukaryota, Metazoa, Chordata, Actinopteri, Blenniiformes, Blenniidae. The transcript has 2 exons. The record is from RefSeq and is a predicted model, not a curated record.
GCAAAACGACAGACAGAGGCCCAUACGGCGGCCAUCUUGAAUACAUCGCCAAAUUGAAGUUUUUUUCUUGGCUCGUCCGUCUUUCCUACAAAAUGAUGUAUAAGGAGCUUUCUUGUCAAAUUUCAAGCUUGCAUCACAAUUUGCACUAAUGCUUCAGAACACAAAAGAGACUCCCAAAUGGCAGCCAUCUUGAAAAAUGGCUGCCAUAUUGAAUUUUUUUUCAGGGCUAACGCUCUUCACUGACAAAGUGACCUGUAAUGGACACAAUUCAGUUUCACCCAAAAUCAGCAUGAAUGGAGAAAUGGAGGAAAGGAAAAUGAGCAGAAAGUCACGAUCUUUGUUUUUCUUCACUCAGGUGGAUGAAAGGUUGCACUUUCUCUGCGAGGAUGUUUGGCUUCGUGGCUAAAGGUACGGAGGCCGGCAUGGAGAACGUGUGCCACGUCUUCGCCGAGUACGACCCCCUGCAGCCCUGCAACGCCGUCCUCCAGGUCGUCCGGGGCGCCGUUCCCAAACCGCCCAGCCCACAAACACAGUGACGUCACAGCCGACGGCUGACGAAGCCAGAUGAAGACAAAACGACUGAACCGUCGCUCGCCUGGUGCCCCCAGCUGGUGGAAAAGCUUCACUGCAUCACCUGAGAGAGCGGUCGGCCAUCUGUGGACGGGAGGGAGGGGUCUCCAUGGAAACCUGAGGCUGGGAGCGGGAGGCUGUCGGACACGACGACUGGUGUUUUUGAAGGUUCUGGUAACCAAACUGAGGAGAAACAGCAGAAACUGAUGCCCGUCUGUUCAUUUCAGUACAGAAACAAACCCUCUUCAGCUCGGAUGUAUUUAUUACCUGCACUGUAAGAAAAGCCUUUUCUGUGUAUCAUCAUGUAUUUUUAUUCUUUUUGUUCUGUUGUGUCUAAAUAGACGUUUAAAAGUG